RNAcentral lists this ribosomal RNA (540 nucleotides) under Triticum aestivum (bread wheat). RNAcentral's name for it is "partial small subunit ribosomal RNA". The record is from RNAcentral. Lineage: Eukaryota; Viridiplantae; Streptophyta; Magnoliopsida; Poales; Poaceae.
AUGCUAUUUGCAACUUUAGAACAUAUACUAACUCAUAUCUCUUUCUCAACGAUUUCAAUUGUGAUUACGAUUCAUUUUAUAACCUUAUUAGUUCGUGAACUUGGAGGAUUACGUGAUUCGUCAGAAAAAGGAAUGAUAGUUACUUUUUUCUCUAUAACAGGAUUCUUAGUUUCUCGUUGGGCUUCCUCGGGACAUUUUCCAUUAAGUAAUUUAUAUGAGUCAUUGAUCUUCCUUUCAUGGGCACUGUAUAUUCUUCAUACCAUUCCUAAAAUACAGAACUCUAAAAAUGAUUUAAGCACAAUAACUACGCCAAGUACUAUUUUAACGCAAGGCUUUGCCACAUCGGGUCUUUUAACUGAAAUGCAUCAAUCCACGAUACUAGUACCUGCUCUACAAUCUCAGUGGUUAAUGAUGCAUGUCAGUAUGAUGUUAUUAAGCUAUGCAACUCUUUUGUGCGGAUCCUUAUUAUCUGCCGCUAUUCUAAUCAUUAGAUUUCGAAAUAAUUUCCAUUUCUUUUCUAAAAAGAAAAAAAUGUUUUAA